Acanthosepion pharaonis is the source of this 112-nucleotide non-coding RNA. Lineage: Eukaryota; Metazoa; Mollusca; Cephalopoda; Sepiida; Sepiidae. The record is from the annotation of a GenBank genome assembly.
UCCGGCCAGAUCACGUUGAAACCACGGUGCCCGUGCGAUCACCUAAGUUAAGCAAUGUCGAGCCUGGUCAUUACCUAGAUGGGUGACCGCUUGGGAAUACCAGGUACUGUAA